UACGAAGGGGGCUAGCGUUGCUCGGAAUCACUGGGCGUAAAGCGCACGUAGGCGGAUUGCUAAGUCAGGGGUGAAAUCCUGGAGCUCAACUCCGGAACUGCCUUUAAGACUGCAUCGCUAGAACGUUGGAGAGGUAAGUGGAAUUCCGAGUGUAGAGGUGAAAUUCGUAGAUAUUCGGAAGAACACCAGUGGCGAAGGCGACUUACUGGACAACUGUUGACGCUGAGGUGCGAAAGCGUGGGGAGCAAACAGG
RNAcentral lists this ribosomal RNA (253 nucleotides) under uncultured bacterium. RNAcentral's name for it is "partial 16S ribosomal RNA". It matches the Rfam family "Bacterial small subunit ribosomal RNA", at positions 524 to 776 of the family's 1533-position model. The record is from RNAcentral.